Molecule: ribosomal RNA, 443 nt
Filed under: uncultured bacterium
Lineage: Bacteria
Description: partial 16S ribosomal RNA
Rfam family: Bacterial small subunit ribosomal RNA
Source: RNAcentral
CCUACGGGUGGCAGCAGUGGGGAAUAUUGCAUAAUGGGCGCAAGCCUGACCCAGCAACGCCGCGUGAAGGAAGAAGGCCCUCGGGUUGUAAACUUCUUUUAUCAAGGACGAAAGAGAUGACGGUACUUGAUGAAUAGGCCGCGGCUAACUACGUGCCAGCAGCCGCGGUAAUACGUAGGUGGCAAGCGUUAUCCGGAUUUACUGGGUGUAAAGGGCGUGUAGGCGGGACUGCAAGUCAGAUGUGAAAACCAUGGGCUCAACCCAUGGCCUGCAUUUGAAACUGGAGUUCUUGAGUGUUGGAGAGGGAGGCGGAAUUCCGGGUGUAGUGGUGAAAUGCGUAGAUAUAUGGAGGAAUACCAGUGGCGAAGGCGGCCCGCUGGACAAUAACUGACGCUGAGGCGCGAAAGCGUGGGGAGCAAACAGGAUUAGAUACCCCAGUAGUC